AAGAGUCAAAAGAGGAAGAGGCAUAUUUCAGGUUUGUGCGUGAAUCUAAUAUAGACAUUUUUCUUUCCACAAAAGAUCGUAAAAUUCUCUCUAGGAUCUUGUUAGAUUCACGCACAAACUCGUAAUCUGCCUUUUCGAUUAUCCUCGUCUCUCUU
RNAcentral lists this microRNA precursor (155 nucleotides) under Manihot esculenta (cassava). RNAcentral's name for it is "miR403b stem-loop (mes-MIR403b)". Its record names the gene mes-MIR403b. The stretch from base 21 to 132 matches the Rfam family "MIR403 microRNA precursor family". The record is from miRBase by way of RNAcentral. Lineage: Eukaryota; Viridiplantae; Streptophyta; Magnoliopsida; Malpighiales; Euphorbiaceae.